UGGGGGAUAUUGCACAAUGGGCGAAAGCCUGAUGCAGCGACGCCGCGUGGGGGAUGAAGGCCUUCGGGUUGUAAACUUCUUUUGCUCUGAACAAGGCAUGCCUUUGGGGUGUGUUGAGUGUAGGGGUUGAUUAGCGCCGGCUAACUACGUGCCAGCAGCCGCGGUAAUACGUAGGGCGCGAGCGUUGUCCGGAAUCACUGGGCGUAAAGGGUUCGCAGGCGGAAAUGCAAGUCAGGUGUAAAAGGCAGUAGCUUAACUACUGUAAGCAUUUGAAACUGCAUAUCUUGAGAAGAGUAGAGGUAAGUGGAAUUUUUGGUGUAGCGGUGAAAUGCGUAGAUAUUAAAAAGAAUACCGGUGGCGAAGGCGACUUACUGGGCUCAUUCUGACGCUGGGGAACGAAAGCGUGGGUAGCAAACAGG
RNAcentral lists this ribosomal RNA (419 nucleotides) under Fusobacteriota bacterium. Its description in RNAcentral is "Fusobacteria bacterium partial 16S ribosomal RNA". It matches the Rfam family "Bacterial small subunit ribosomal RNA", at positions 355 to 776 of the family's 1533-position model. The record is from RNAcentral. Lineage: Bacteria; Fusobacteriati; Fusobacteriota.